GAACUAGAAACUUUCAUUAAACCCACUCUUGACUUUUUCAAUCUUUUCAGUUAUUGCGUUUGGUAGGCUUAGUCCGGUCUUGUAAUAGUUAAACAGCAGCCCCCGUGAUCUCUCCAGCUCUGAUCCAAGCGAUUGGUAGGUCCACUUUGUUAGCCUGGGUGCAUUAAAGCCAGUCUGGGAUUAAAGCGGGAAGGUUCAGAUAGCAUCUGUCGAGCUCCGUGGCGUUCUACGAGGGAUAACGAAAUGUAGCAGAAUUAACUCUUUCCUGCUCUUCGUUCUGUUUUAAAUGUCCAGGGACAGGAUUUGUGAUGUCAGGUUUAUUCCUAUGUUUACACUGUCUGCCAGAUGUUUAUGGCAGAGUUUAGAUAAAUUCGAGGUAUGGUCUGCAAGCUGGUGGUAUGGCCACUAUAUACCAACCAUUCCAUGUAGUGUCUCACGGACACCCUUUAUGUAACAUACAGAGAGGAGUCCAGUUAGAGCAGGGGAGGGAGAGAGAAGGUGGAAUCAUAUUUUGCUGAACAUACAUCUGUAUAUUUAACCUCAACUGGACUGGAUCUGAAAAGGUUUCCCCAAGCGAGGAGGACAGGAGCUGAGG
Molecule: non-coding RNA, 595 nt
Organism: Pelobates cultripes (western spadefoot toad)
Lineage: Eukaryota; Metazoa; Chordata; Amphibia; Anura; Pelobatidae
Source: the annotation of a GenBank genome assembly